AUGAAGAACAGCGAGGGGCGCCGCGUGUGGUGGGGCGUCCCCGGCCGCACGCUCGAGGGCGUGCUGGCGCACCUUGAGGGAGGCAACGACCCGCCGUUGGCAUACCCUCCCCCGGCGGCCGGGCCCAUCGCCGACGCGCCAGGCAAUGGAUGCCCAGGAGGUUUGUCACUUCCUUGUCUUACUCCUCAAACUCCUCGUCGCGAUCUUCUUCCCACUCCUCUAGCUCUCCGGCGCUGCUCGGCGUCAAGGCCGAGCCCGCGACGGAGACGCCGCUCGGCCGGCGCACUCGCAGCGCCGGCAUCAUCAUCAACGAGGGCGGCCAGCGCGCCUCCUCGUCGGCUCCUCCGCGCUUUGUCAAGCCAAAGACGGAGCCGGGGCUCGCGCCGGUGA
Molecule: ribosomal RNA, 390 nt
Filed under: Triticum aestivum (bread wheat)
Lineage: Eukaryota; Viridiplantae; Streptophyta; Magnoliopsida; Poales; Poaceae
Description: partial small subunit ribosomal RNA
Source: RNAcentral